Molecule: long non-coding RNA, 682 nt
Organism: Passer montanus (Eurasian tree sparrow)
Lineage: Eukaryota; Metazoa; Chordata; Aves; Passeriformes; Passeridae
Exons: 3
Source: RefSeq, a predicted model, not a curated record
AAGACUAGAACUGCCACCUCCUGUUUACAAUGGGCUGGAGUAGUCACAGAAUUGUCAGGGCUACUUUCUGUCUCGGUGUGAUUGGAAAUAAGACUGAAAACGGUACCUUAGCAUGAAGAUGUGCACAAGCUUCUAAAGUUGAAUUUUCAAGAGACAAAAGAAACACAAAGAAGAAACAUGAGUACUCAACAUGUUCUUAUAUCACCAGCUAAGUGGGCUUUGAUGUAUGCUGAGAUCAGAGAGCAAGAUGUAUGCUGCAUCAUGGGACCAAGGAUCUUAUGUGGAUAUUUGGUAUCUAUAAUAUACCAUCUGUAUGUGAUUUAAGUCACUCUCAAAGGUGCAACCCUUUUGCUUACUUAUUCUGUGGUUUUUUUACUAAAAGGCUGACUUGUAUGUGCAAGCAUCAGUUUGUGGACUCAGUGGUGACUUAAGGACUAUUGCCUAGAGACUCCUUAGAGGUUUUGCAGUCUGUACAGGAGCCCUUUUUCCUUCAUGAUCUUCUACAUCCAACUAGAACUGCUUACAUUUUUAGUUCCAGAAGUUUCUGCUUUGGUGCUGUUGGUGACUGUGCAUCUGUCACCAUUAUGCAUACUGGUGUGUAAUAUUUAAAGGGAUUAAACUUUGACAAUACUGUUUCCUUAGGUCUCAUAACACUGUAUGUAAAAUAAAGGAGUAUAAACUA